This is a long non-coding RNA of Sebastes umbrosus (honeycomb rockfish), 1434 nucleotides long. RefSeq lists it as uncharacterized. The transcript has 3 exons. NCBI's taxonomy places the organism in Eukaryota, Metazoa, Chordata, Actinopteri, Perciformes, Sebastidae. The record is from RefSeq and is a predicted model, not a curated record.
UUCACAACAAUAUCUUUCAAAUAAAAAAAUCAAAUAGUUGUUUAAUGCUAUAUCAAUGCUCUGGACAUUGUAUAGAGAACCUUUAAGAAAUGUACUUAGUUACAUUCCACCACUGGCCAUGGCCAGAACUUUUAACAACUCACUUCGGUUAAGGUAUGAUUUGUUCCACAUCUCUCCACCCAGUUGAGCCUAUGACCCGACAUCUUUGACAACUUGUGGACAACAAAAACACCCAAAACACCACUUUGUGAGCCAAGUGCAGGAACAUACCUGUAGCUGCUCAUAUUUCAUCCCUGUGACAAUAUCCAAGGUCUCUACUUAGCCCAGACCUGGAAUCUACAAGAUAAAACAUGGAGCAGACAGCAGUGUUUUAAGAGGAACUAUUGAGAUACACAGAAUGGGCAUAGCAGAGACAGCCGAGCUCUGAGCCGGUGGUGUUUUUCCAAGCUGCAGAAAUGAAAACGAGAUGGAGAGAGGUGUAACAGUGGGAUCGAGGGAGGACAGGUGCUGUUAGUCAUGUAAUUAUAAAUCUAUAAACAGUACCAGCGCAAUUAUAAGCUGAGUAAUCAUUAUACAAGUUGCUGCUGAGGCCAAGAAUGACAUUUUAAUGUGAGAGCUGCCAGUGUGAUGACAUUAGGUUACGAAACACAGUCCAUGGUCUGGGAACAAAGAUUUGCUGCUGUUAAUGGCAACUUAUUUUAUUGGACCAGCGAAUCCAUGGAUACAGACCUACCUUAUUAUUUAACAUGAACUUUACGAGCUCGUCCAGCAGGAAAUUAAGCAAAAGAAAUACAGCAAUACAGUACACAAUGGUCCCAUUUUCUCAGCAGGCAUUUUGGUAUGUCACAGCAGAAAACCACAGGUGUAAUUAAUAACUUUAACAAUAGCUGGCUGGCAAGGCUUACAGGGACAUUCAAUAAAAAUGGAACCAUUAUUAUUGUUAUUAUUAUAAUUAUUUGCACCUGUGCUUUUCAGCUUAAGCAACACCAGAAGCACACAUGUAGCACUAGCGCCUUGUAAAAAAACAUCAAAAUAAAAUGUUAGUAUGCUAAUCACUACUCUAGGCUAGGACCAGCCACAUCAUUUUAGCUAAUGUGCUAGUUUACAUAUAUGUAGUAUAUAAUGUAAAUAGUGUAUAAACAUAAAUUGAAUUAGAUCGACACCAUUGUCACUGAUACCCGACCCAGCUAUUUAAGUCAGUAUCAACCCGAUAUCCGAUCCAGUAUCGGUAUCGGUGCAUCCUGAGGAGCAGUGGGCUGCAUGGGAGCAACUUGGGGUUCAGUGUCUCGCUCAAGGACACUUCAACACGCAGACAGUAGGAGCCGGGGAUCGAACCGCACCUUGCGGCUAAAGGACGACCCCCUCAACCCACUGAGCUACAGCCGCCCCCAGUAUAGUAUAUCACAGCAGCCACAGCCAAAUCCAGGGCCGUAA